RNAcentral lists this ribosomal RNA (253 nucleotides) under uncultured bacterium. RNAcentral describes it as "partial 16S ribosomal RNA". It matches the Rfam family "Bacterial small subunit ribosomal RNA", at positions 524 to 776 of the family's 1533-position model. The record is from RNAcentral.
UACGGAGGGUGCAAGCGUUAAUCGGAAUUACGGGGCGUAAAGCGCACGCAGGUGGCUGAGUCAGUCGAUUGUGAAAGCCCUGGGCUUAACCUGGGAAUUGCAGUCGAUACUACUCGGCUCGAGUAUGGGAGAGGGCAGUGGAAUUCCCGGUGUAGCGGUGAAAUGCGUAGAUAUCGGGAGGAACAUCAGUGGCGAAGGCGGCUGCCUGGCCCAAUACUGACACUCAGGUGCGACAGCGUGGGGAGCAAUCAGG